CAGCAGCCGCGGUAAUACGUAGGGUGCGAGCGUUAAUCGGAUUUACUGGGCGUAAAGCGUGCGCAGGCGGCCCGUUAAGACAGGUGUGAAAUCCCUGGGCUCAACCUAGGAAUUGCGCUUGUGACUGGCGGGCUCGAGUACGGUAGAGGGGGGUGGAAUUCCUGGUGUAGCAGUGAAAUGCGUAGAGAUCAGGAGGAACACCGAUGGCGAAGGCAGCCCCCUGGGCCAGUACUGACGCUCAUGCACGAAAGCGUGGGGAGCAAACAGGAUUAGAUACCCUGGUAGUCCACGCCCUAAACGAUGGGUACUAGCCGUUUGGUGCGCGAUAGCGCUGAGUGGCGAAGCUAACGCGUGAAGUACCCCGCCUGGGGAGUACGGCCGCAAGGUUGAAACUUAAAGGAAUUGGCGGG
This 410-nucleotide ribosomal RNA is filed under the name uncultured microorganism. RNAcentral describes it as "bacterial SSU rRNA". It matches the Rfam family "Bacterial small subunit ribosomal RNA", at positions 509 to 917 of the family's 1533-position model. The record is from RNAcentral.